AGAACUUUAAAAACUAGACCACAUUUUCCAGUCUCCUCUGAAGUCAGAUGAAACCAUAUGACUAAGUUACAGCCAGUGAAAGGUUAUUCCUUGAAAUACAUCUGGAUUGUUUAGGGAUUGAUGGAAACCUAUACCCAACUUCAUUCCCUCAUCCUUCUCCUGAGGGAACAGGUUGCUGCAGUCAAUGGACAAUAGCCUCGUGCUUCAAGGAAAUCUUGAGGAGAGAUGUUUCACCUGCAGGCAGCAAACAUGACUACAGACAGAUACUCUUAUUUACCACAAAGUAGUGGAUUCUGGAAGAACUUGGCUCAGAAAUGUAUCUGUACCCCAGAGGAGAGAUCAAGAGUAGUCUUGUAAAUGUGUGGUUCUUCCUCUAAGAGGCAGAGGGAGCUGAAUAGGCAGGCUGUGGCUUUCCCACGCCUGAGCUAGGAGCCAUACAUGGAGACUAGGGAGCAAGAGGCUUCCUCCAGGAGCAUCGUUAGGGGACUUGCAGCCUGUUUGCUUCUUUACCACUGACCAGGUAGGUAGAAACUAUGUCAUCUUUCCCUGCUUACUGAACUCCUGCUCUUAGGGCACUGGAUCUGAGUCCAAAGCAACCGACAAAUAAAAAAGGGGAACCUACUUAAGAGGAAGAUCCGUCAGAACAAGAGGAUCCGUCAGAAGAUCCUUGUGUGCAGGAAAACAGAGCUGCCGGAUGAUAGACAACAACUGAAUGAAGGAGGAGGGGUUGGGGAGGAGAGUGGGGAAGAGAAAGAAGGAGAAGACGAAGGAUGAGCAAGCUUCUAGUGCUCAAGGAAAGCAGUCUCUGAUGCUCACUUCAGAUGGGAUCAAAGAGAAAAUAGGGAAGAGAGCAUUGCAGAGGGAGGAACAAGGGCAGAUAGAGAUUGUUGCUGUGACAUAAUCUAGUACAUACUAACUCGCAUGUUAAACUGAAUUACAACAGUCUGCCCUUGCUGGAAUAGGUGUAGUUGAAAACAGCUGAAAAAUGAGAACUUCACAUGAAAAAAUGACUCUCAAUGUCUGGAAAUUUUUAAAGUCAUAAGUAUGUUGCUAAAUUCUCAGUGAAACCUUAGAAGAAUCAAGAAAAAGCUUGUGUGAGGAUCACAGUUUGUCCUGGGGUCAGAAUGGAAAGCAAAUUCUUAAAUAUCUCUUUGAGACCCUACUUGAAAUGAAUGUACUCAUUCACACAGCCUCAUCUUCUUGUUUGAGGAGCAUCACAGACAGUUUUCUGCAUGCCUUCUGAGUUCCUGCUUAUCCUUUUGGGCCCUUCCUUUUUUUUGGAUGAUGUUUUUCUGAUUAAGAGUUAGGACAAAAGGAAAUCUAUGACAUCCACCCCUUUAUGUCUUUCCAAACUAUCUCUUCCCCCAUGAAAUUUAGCAUAAGCUAUGGAUACAGAAAUAAAGAAACUGUCAUAACACAUAAUGUUGGGAAGAUAAGUGCAUUGUAUCACAGCCACUGGGGUUUAUAUUUUAUUAUUUACUGGAAAAGGGAAAACUCAUGAUAGACAGAUUCUUUUCUCAGGCAAAAGGAAGAUGUGAUGUGUGAGCAUGUUAUAGAGGAGAAUUUUAGGAUGUUCUAAAGUUUUCCUUGCAUUUAUUAAGGGCCUUGACCCACCUGAGCUGAAUAGUUUGCCUCUGAAGGAGCAUCUGUUCUAUAAAUUUUUGUUCUCUCACUCCUCCAGUCAUAGAACCAGAAUACACUGUGGCGUCACCUGGUCAAGGUUAUUUUUCCUUAGCAGUACAUAAGGGGUCCUUUAACUUGGUACUCUACAAGGAAAAUCUUAUUUAAAUAAGGAACUAAACCACCUCUACCGGUGAACUACAGAUAGUUUUCUAACAGUGUGCUAAGAGCCAGCCUAUAGAUGCUAAUAGUUAGCAUAAAUAUUUAUAAAGCAUACAAAAAUAUAUUUUUUAAUUUUAUAUAUAAAUAAAAACCAGGCAAUUAAAGAUAAGAUUUAGGUAUAGCUAUUGAUUGCUCUGAUAUUAGUUCUUCAUCUCCCCACAUCUGUGGAGUACUGAAGAACUUAGCCCAUGAGUUCAUUUUUUUAAUUGAGAUAUAAUGGACAUACAACAUUGUAUUAGCUUUAGGUGUACAACAUAGUGAUAUGAUAUUUAUAUAUAUUAUGAAAUGAUCACGACAAUAAGUCAAGUUAACAUCCAUCACUACACACCCUUAUAAUUUUUCUUCUGAUGUGGAUUUAAGUUCUACUCUCCUAGCAACUUUCAGGUAUACAAUACAGUAUUAAUUACUAGAGUCACCACUCUGUAUGCUACAUUUCCAUGACUUAUUUAUUUUAUAACUGGAAGUUUAUACCUUUUUACUUCAGGGAGCCCAUACAUUUAGAUGGUGAAAAAAAUUACAUCUUCACUUUCAUUAAUCUCUAGUAAAAUUUAGCAUGUCCUUCAAUUAUGUUUGUAGGCAACAAGCUACCACAGUAUUAGGAUAUCUGUGCCUUGUUACUGACAUGUUGAAAAUCACAUAUUUCCAUAUCACAUUAUAGAUGCUACAAAUAUCUCAAAAUACUGUUUACUCUCAUUACUGUUUUAAAACCACGUUAGUAAUUAGAUCCAUCACUAACUCUUGUUACCUUCUACACUAGUAAGAAGCACAUAUAUUACUAUUUUAUAAAAUUUUAAUUUUGGUAACUGUGUUCCUAAAUAAUUGAUUUCGGUUGAAAAUCUCAUGUAUUUUUUUUUUUUUUUUGGUCUUUUUGCAAUUUCUUGGGCCGCUCCCGCGGCAUAUGGGAGGUUCCCAGGCUAGGGGUCAAAUCGGAGCUGUAACCACCAGCCUAUGCCAGAGCCACAGCAAUGCGGGAUCCGAGCCGCGUCUGCGACCUACACCACAGCUCACGGCAACGCCGGAUCCUUAACCCACUGAGCAAGGGCAGGGAUCGAACCCGCACCCUCAUGGUUCCUAGUCGGAUUCGUUAACCACUGCGCCACGACGGGAACUCCCAAAAAUCUCAUGUAUUUUUGACGCAAUUUAAAAUAUUCUUAGAAGGGGCCCACAGGCUUCACCAGAACGCAAGAUGUGUCCAUUGCACAAAAAAUUUCAGAACCCUGCCAAAAGUGGUGAUGAUUAUCAAAUCAUAUUACUGUCUGUAUUUGGCAAAGUGGGCUGUUUUAUCUCCAACACACUUUGUUCUUUCUGCAUCCCAAACAUUUAAUCAACAAACAUUUAUUGACUAUCUCUGUAUGCCUGGCACACUUCUAGAUGCUGGAUAUUCAGAAGUAACAUAAACAAGGUCCUUGCCUUCAAGGAGCAUAAGUUGAGUGGGAAGACACAGGAAAUAGAUCAGUAAAUAAACCCAACAAUUUCAAAUUGAGAAAAGUUCUGUAAAGGAAAUAAAUGGUAUUAAGUAAACAGAGCAGAGUGAGGGGAUCAGGAAGCUCUCUCUGAAAAGCUGUCAUCUGAAGGAUGAGCAUGUACCAAACAUGGGAAGAGGUGGGGGGAAUGUAUUCCAAGCAGAAGGAAAACCAAAUGCAAGCACAUCAAGGCUAUGAAAGUCCUAUGCUGGUUCAUGACAGACGGCCUGUGUCUUGGUCACAAUGCUGAUAAGUCCAGAAAGUUGUUUCUCCCUUGGUCUGCAAAUGCUGAACUCAUUAUGCCUCAGUAUUCAGAGUCUGUCAACUGCCUGUUGCUCUUACUCCUUUUCCCUUGCUCACACACAUCCAAGUAAGGCAGGAACCAUGGGAUUUGUAGCUCAUUGUGCAUCUCCCACAAAUGCCCCUGAAAGGCUGAAGUGGGAAGGAUGAUCAUCUUCCAGCUUAAGUUCUACCAGAAGCUCCCCAAUCCAGCUCCUGUUAUUUUUCUCACUACAAAUAUCCCGGCUCAAGACAGGAAAAGCAGGAGUGUAAAGAAGCACAUGGCUACACUUCCAGGGUAACACCCCACUGCACCCUAUUGGUAAUAACCUCUGGAAACACUUUAGGUCUUCCACUACAAUAGAAUGUCACAGUCUUUAGCUGUGACUAAAGAGAAGAUAUAUCUUCUCUCACUGAAGCAUGUAUGUGAUACAAAAAGACACAUGGUUGUGUCUAACACAGAAAACUAAUAAGUGUUAAUUAGGGAAUUAUUUCAUUUUUAAUGCUACUUUAAAAUUUUCCUAGUAAUGUAUUUUUCCUUUAUAGCUACCAUUAAAGACUAUACUAUGUGUAGUAGU
Molecule: long non-coding RNA, 4162 nt
Filed under: Sus scrofa (pig)
Lineage: Eukaryota; Metazoa; Chordata; Mammalia; Artiodactyla; Suidae
Description: lncRNA (ENSSSCG00015058589.1)
Source: RNAcentral